UCCGCGCUGAUCAUCCCCCCGGGAGUGCGUUUCGCUUCCCUGCGACCGCAUCGCGUGACUCCACGCGUCUUGUGCUCCGACCGCGCUGCCCUCCUCCCGUGAGAACCGGGCCGUUUCUGACGGGUCUAAUUGAACUUCGAUUAAUUAAUUCGAAUUAAAGGUUUUUUUCGAGAGCUUAUUUUGGUCUCUCAAAUUGUCGAGUGGGAAGCCGUUGAUUGUGAAACUAUCUUGUUCCUUGAUUCUUCAGAUAAAAAUAAACAUAAGAUUAUCGUCCAACUAUCAAUCCCGCCGGAAUGAUUCUGAGGCAGAUAUCAUUAAUUCUAAAAAUUCUUUUUUCCCCAAAAAAACUGCGUUAAAGGGGAUUUUUUAAACAAAAGUUACCAAAAUCGGGCAAAAAUUGAGAAUUUUUACUGUUACAGUGCAAUAAUAAGGAAAAUAAGUUUUAGUUCCUGAGAAAUGGAAUCCCCUCGGACGAAGUGCGUGGCAGUGAACUAAUGAUCGUUAUCGGUGAAAAUGAGAACAUCUUAGUGUAGGCCGAAUGCGGUGUUCAAACCCUCGGAACUUACUACCAGAGAUACCCAUUUUGAAAUUAAUGUAAUGACAUUAGACGACAUGAUUCUGUCCGUCAGCGAUAAGAUGGAAGAGGCUUGUUCCAGUCGAGAGACCGGCAAAUGGAUGUCCAGCACAAGCUCCAUUCCAGAUCAAUUUAAGGGGAACUUAUGCCACCGAAAAGAGUCCGUUUCUCCUUUGGAUGAUGACUUCUCGUUACCAGAGAGAAGGGUUCUUACCGGACACAUCUACCCCUUCGCAGUUGUUUUGCGGCUGCGUGUUUUACAGAUCGUGUGUGGUAUUUCGGCGCUCGUGAUGGGAACGGUCGCCUUCAUCGAGGAGAGAGGAGGUUUCAAUCUUGGGCUGGGAGUUCCUGCGGGAGUGACGACCGUCGUAGCAGCAGCGGCGUCGAUCCACACCUCCCGGGGGUUCUCCGGGUACCAGCAGCCGUCGUGCGACCCUCCGCUCUCCCGCUUCCGCUUCCUGGGCCCGUCGAUCCAGGCGGCGAUCCCUUUGACCCUCCUCUGGCUCACGGCCUGCACGCUCAACGUCCUGCUCCUCUUGUUCGCGGUGCGCUCCUUCAUCCACAAGCCGGAGCUCACCGUCCUCGCCUCCGUCCUCCUCACCUUCAGCCUCAUGACCCUCAUCGCCGUCGUCCUCCUCCUCCGCAUCGACAUCAAGUACGACCCCGACUGA
This 1245-nucleotide long non-coding RNA is filed under the name Bemisia tabaci. RNAcentral's name for it is "lncRNA ENSSSA1NGG010519". The record is from RNAcentral. Lineage: Eukaryota; Metazoa; Arthropoda; Insecta; Hemiptera; Aleyrodidae.